Microplitis mediator is the source of this 2485-nucleotide long non-coding RNA. RefSeq lists it as uncharacterized. The transcript has 3 exons. The record is from RefSeq and is a predicted model, not a curated record. Lineage: Eukaryota; Metazoa; Arthropoda; Insecta; Hymenoptera; Braconidae.
UUUUCUUUCAGGUAGUAGUAUAAAUUAUAAAAUAAAAAUUACGAUAGUCUAUUGUAAAAAUUAUUAUUGAAAACUUAUAGUCCAGCGUUACAAUACUAUAUAAUGAAAAUUACGAUAGUUAAAUCGUAAAAAAUCCGUGAAUUUUUUUUCCGUGUAGACUCUAUUCGAAUCUCAAAGUUAUCCUCGUAAACUGUUGAUUUUGAUGACGAUAAAAACAGCUAUGUGCAUGUUAUAUCACAGGAAGUCGUAGUAAUUCUUGGAAAGAAAAAAAUAUAAAUAAAAUAAAAAUAAAUAGAGGGACAUUGAACUUCUAUCACUGUACCCAAUAAUGAUCCAUGCUGAUGUGUCUAAUUAAACCAACGGUCAAAACUGACAGAUAACAUUAACACAACAUCUCUUGUAUCUUUUUAAAAGAUGCCAUUCCGCGAAGGACCGCGAUCACGUGCUUGCAGAGUUAUCUUCCCGCUUAUUACCUCGCUCCGACCAGCACAUGAUAUUAUUAUCGCCUUGGUGUCGUCGUAAGAUCUACAAGGCUAAGGUGUGAAUAUAAGAGAGGGGGGGAAUAAAAGUCAUUAACAUUUUUCGACUGACACUUUCGAAUUUUGAAAAAAUUUCAAAAUAAUCCUCAAUUAUAUUGAGUAUAAAAACAAACUUUUUUUUAUAAAAUCUUGAGGGUACACAGAAAAAACAGAUGUCUUAAGUCAAGAAAAUAUUUUUGAAGACAAACGUUUUCGGGAACCAAGUCAAGAUUUUCUUGAGCCAAGAGAAUUCGUCUUGGUUGGAGAAGAUUUCUACUUUAUCUGAGAAAAUUUAGGUCUCCAAAAAAAUUUUCUUGAAUCAAGAAUAUUUACCUUCAGUCAAGAAUUUUUUUUUUUUGUGUGUACCCCAUUUUGUCCCCCUCCCCACUAUAAUCGACCAUAGACGAGUACAGUGUCAUGGACCAGCGAUUUGAGAUUGAAAACAAUACGCAACGUAAUAUAUGUGUGCAUAUAUAUAUAUCUAUAUAAAUAAAUCGGUCGGGUCAUGACUCACUUUUCUUAAACUCAUUUCAUUAAACCUUUUGUUACAAAUUGUGAAUUGUCUUGCGUGCGACUUACUGACUCGUACUUUAUUAUGCAGAGCAGCAAAUAUGUUUGUCUUUAUAUAUGAGUACGCGCAUCAACAAAAACGAGCAGAAAAAGAGAAUGAAAAAAUUUUAAUACAUUAGAUUUAUAUCUUACGCUUUAUCACAAGUUAUAAAUAUUAUAUUUUAAACUUUAAUAUAUAUAAAACCUUUAUCUGUAAGAAGUUAUAUUAAGAAUCCUAUCGCGAUAUAAUUUCAAAGGCUACAUAUAUAUGUUUUUUAUAUUAUUAAUGUUAUUAUAAUAUUUUAUUUAAACCCAUUUCCAAUGGUAUGAAUUAUAUAUAAGCUCAUAUAAGACUACUUGUCGUGAAGCUUAAAAGAAAUUACAUUCAGUCGGUUGUUACUCAACGUAAGUAAAUAAGCUGGAAGAUUCUCCGCAGUUACGAUGCCUGCAUUGAUAAGGUAAAAAUGUCAAUAAAAAAAAAUAUAUAGAUAUAUAUAUAUAUAUUGAAUAAUCACGUGCUACCGGCUUAAACAUCAACAACCAGCGGAAACAAGAAUUAAUCUCAGAAAAUUAUCUCACUGAAAUGUAUUUUAUUUUUCCUCGCUGUGAUAUCGAUUAUAAAAAAAAAGUCCUGACAACUUUAGCAGUGAUGAUUAUGAUGGACAACUGAUAUAGUAGCUUUGAAGAGAGAUUAUGUGCCACAAUAAAAAAUGAAAGAGAUUAAUUAGGAUUUACGAUGAAUAUGUUUUGACAUAAAUGCUCGUGUAAAGAGGAUUUAAAAAAGUGAUGACGAGAAAAAGCGAUGACUUUAAGACAAAUGCUGGAAGUUGUUAUUUUUUUUUGUAAGUAAUUAUUAUAAAAAUAUGAGAAUAAAAAUGCAGAUGCAUUUAACAACUUUAAUUCAAGUAUUAAUGUAAGUAUUGCAACGAUGCUUUAAGAUUACACUUCAUCCGGUAUGAUUUAGCGCUGAAGAUGACUUUUUGUCAUGGGUACUGUAUACACAUUAAUAAUACAUAUUUAUAUAAAUAUAUAUAUGUAUGUAUUUAUAUAAAUAUAUGUGCUCGCAUGAAUGUGAAAAAGCAUGUAGAAAGUUUCAUCGUGAUGUAAUGCCAAGAUGUACAUAAGAAUUAAUGUGCAAAAUAAAAUGUGUAUAUACAACGUUACAGGGCGAUCAUAAAUGAUGUCUGGUUCUUGUAUAACAUUAGAUGUAAUAUAAGAAGUAAGAAGAAAGAAGAAGAUUAUUAUUAUAAUUUCCACAAAGAGUAAUCGAACAUAUAUCGAACUACUGAGACAACAUUCCGCUCAGAGAUACUUUUCCUACUCUAAAUAAAUUAUAGUAAUUAUUCAUUUUGUACCAUUACUAGUUUGUUAAUAAAUAAAAUAAAAUUAUUAUAGACAGAAAAAAGGAAUUCUUGGCU